ACGAACGCUGGCGGCAGGCCUAACACAUGCAAGUCGAACGCUCCGCAAGGGGAGUGGCGCACGGGUGAGUAACACGUGGGAACCUACCUUCUGGUACGGAACAACCAAGGGAAACUUUGGUCUAAGACCGUAUACGACCUCCGGGUGAAAGAUUGAUCGCCGGAAGAGGGCCCGCGUCCGAUUAGGUAGUUGGUGAGGUAACGGCUCACCAAGCCUUCGAUCGGU
RNAcentral lists this ribosomal RNA (225 nucleotides) under uncultured bacterium. RNAcentral describes it as "partial 16S ribosomal RNA". It matches the Rfam family "Bacterial small subunit ribosomal RNA", at positions 29 to 284 of the family's 1533-position model. The record is from RNAcentral.